UACGGGGGGGGCAAGCGUUGUUCGGAAUUACUGGGCGUAAAGGGCUCGUAGGCGGCCAACUAAGUCGGAUGUGAAAUCCCCAGGCUUAACCUGGGAACUGCAUCCGAUACUGGAUGGCUUGAAUUCGGGAGAGGGAUGCAGAAUUCCAGGUGUAGCGGUGAAAUGCGUAGAUAUCUGGAGGAAUACCGGUGGCGAAGGCGGCAUCCUGGACCGACAUUGACGCUGAACGGCGAAAGCUAGGGGAGCAAACGGG
Molecule: ribosomal RNA, 253 nt
Filed under: uncultured bacterium
Lineage: Bacteria
Description: partial 16S ribosomal RNA
Rfam family: Bacterial small subunit ribosomal RNA
Source: RNAcentral